Molecule: non-coding RNA, 83 nt
Filed under: Bariatricus massiliensis
Lineage: Bacteria; Bacillati; Bacillota; Clostridia; Lachnospirales; Lachnospiraceae
Description: S10-Clostridia ribosomal protein leader
Rfam family: S10-Clostridia ribosomal protein leader
Source: RNAcentral
UGAUAGCUGUGAAGCGAGAGGUUGCUGCCCAUAUAUGGCAGGUUUUCCGCGGAGCGAAUGUCAAGUUAGGAAACUGGCGACAA